GUCUUUGGAGCUAUUGUGCACAGACAACAUUAUCAUUACUAUGGAAAAAUUCAAACAAAUUAUGAAAUAUGAAGUGAUUUUGUGAACAAAAAGCCAUGAUGAACGCAGCAGACGCAGCAUCUGGUAUCUGAGUACCUAUCCACCCAUAUAAUGACCAUCAUACAGAACCUCCCUCACUCUCUGUUUUCGUGUCCUUGUGAGCAAACACUUGACUGGGCUGUGCUUGAGGAGGGCCAACGGGGGAACGUCCCAGUUACAGAGUACAAGACAGGCAUCGGUGGCAAGCCGCUGAGAUGUUGGUGGAGGUGUUUCUGUUCGCUGUGCUGGUGUUCCUGCUGUGGAAGACCUUCAGUAAGCCUCCAGGACUGCCUCCAGGCAGGUGGGGGCUUCCCCUGGUGGGUUACAUCCCCUGGACUAACAAGAACUUUGAGGAGCAGGUGAUUGACCUCCACCAGCAGUAUGGAGACAUCUUCCUGUGGAGGAUGGGGACUCAGUUGAUGGUAUUUCUGAAGGACUACAAACUGGUGAGGGAAGCUUACUCCAGAUUCGAGCUUUCCGACAGACCAAACUGGGAGACCUUCAGGAUCUUUGAGGAAACUACUCACGGAAUCGCAUCAAGUAAUGGUCUUUUUUGGCACAACAACCGGAGAUUUACGAUGCGACAGCUGCGUGACCUUGGCAUGGGCAAGUCCUCCCUGGUGGGGGCGGUGCAGCACCAAGCCCUCAAGCUGCGCAAGACUCUCGCUGAGGUUGUUGGAACACCUGUUAUGAUUCCCCAUCAGCUUCACGUGUCUGUGCUCAACGUGAUCUGGCACAUGGUGGCAAGCAGACAAUUCGAUGCGGAAGACAAGAAGUUACAAGAGUUCAUAAAGCUUAUGGAAGAAUUCGUGUUACUUUCGAAUCGAAUGGCCAUCAAAGACUUCUUGCCGUGGCUGGAAAAUAUCAUGCCGGAUUUCCUCUUUAAACGCCUCAUAAAGUAUCAUGGAAUAAUUUAUGUGAAGGAGAAGUUUAUCCAAUACUUUAAGGAAGAGAUCGAGGAGCACAAGACCACUUUGGAUUCAGACAACCCGCGGGACCUCAUUGAUAGCUACCUGGUGGAGAUUGAGGCCAAGAAAGAUGACCCAGAGACAACUUUCAGCGAGUGGGAGUUGGUAUUUAUAUUGUUCGACAUGUUCUUCGCGGGAAGUGAGACCACCGUCAACACCUUCACGUGGCUGUGUUGCUACCUGGCGGCACACCCACAGGUUCAACGCAAGUUGCAUGCUGAGAUUGACGAAGUGCUUCCCAGUGGAGCUCUGCCCACCUUGGCGGAAAAGUCCAGAAUGCCGUACAUGGAGGCCGUGAUCAACGAAACGAUGAGAGCUUGUGCACUGGUAAACUUCGGAUUGCAGCACGUGGCCAACAAUGACACGCAACUAGGGGGCUACACCAUUCCACAGGGAACAGUCGUGAACACUACCGUCACGUCUGUGCACUAUGACAGUCGCUACUGGGAUCGGCCCAAGGAGUUCAAGCCGGAGCGCUGGCUGGAUGAGAACGGCAAAUUCUCUAUGGCCAAGGAGGGAUUCCUGCCCUUCGGUGUGGGAAAGAGAGUUUGCGUUGGGGAAAGUCUGGCCCGGAUGGAACUGUUCAUCUUCACAGCCAUGGUCUUCCAAAGCUUCGCCAUCGCUCCUCCGCCUGGCAAAUCUGUCAACUUGACACCUGAUUUGAGCGGUUUCUUCUUCCGCAAGGCAAUGCCCAAUGAGUUCGUCUUCACCGCCAGGGAACAGUAAUGGUCGCUAUGGCAAUCAUCAGCUGCCCUGUAAAGUCCGACAUUGGAGAAGGAGGAACACAAGCAGGCAGUCAUAACUCAAAUCGCUCCUUAGACUAUCAAAUGCCCCCAUUGUUGCUGGAGGGAAAUGGUGUCAAAAAUGUAACUCAUACGAAGUUCUUAGGUGUUCAUAUAGACAAAAACUUAAAUUGGAGGUAUCAUAUUAAUGAUGUUUAUUUCAAAUUAUCCAGGAUGUGUGCCAUAUUGUAUAAGAUUCGCAACAAAUUCACUGUCGAGACUCUUCUCAGUAUCUAUUAUACUCUUUGUAUACUGUGUCUCACUAUGGGCAUGUACCUGGCCUUCUUUCAUCAUCAAGGUAAAAAUAGUCCAAAACAAAAUUUUAAGAUGUAUUUUCAACUUGGGAAAAUUUGAUUCCACUGCCAAAAUUUUCGCAGAGCACAAGCUUCUUAAUUUUUUUUUCUAUACACAAAUGUUUUCUCCUUUUAUUUAUCUUUAAAAUUCUUGUAAACAGACUGGGAACCCCAAUUUUUAAAUUAUUGGAAUCAAGAUACGGCACCAGACAACAAGAUGUCAAUAUAAUAUGCCCACAGUACCGCACAAUUCUUUUCAAACACAGCAUCUUCUAUUAUGGGCCACAACUAUGGAACAACUUGCCAGUAGAUAUAAAAAUCAUUUCAGAUAGUCCAGAUCAUUUUAAAAAGAAAAUAAAAAAACAUUUACUUGCAUUACAAAGUCCUUAUGGAUAGGGCUAUUAAUAUAUAGUUUAUGUACUGAUGUAUGUGUGUAUGUGGGUGCAUAGGUUUGUGUACUGAUGUAUGUGUAUAUGUGGGUUCAUGAGUUUGUGUACUGAUGUAUGUGGCUGCAUGGGUUUGUGUACUGAUGUAUACAUGUAUGCAGGCAUGUGCCUAAUAAGUAGUUUAUAUAUUUAGACAUGUAUAUGUAUGUUAAGUGUAUGAAGAUAAAAAUACAAGUAAUAUUUAACUAUACCCAGCCUUGCUGAUUUUUUUUUUUUUAUAAAAUAUUCCGUCAGGAAGCCCCGGCUCAACGGAUCAUGCCAAUAAUUUUCUAUUUUGUUAGUUAUGUCUAUAUAUGUAUAUGCUGGGAAUAAACUUUACUUUACUUUA
This is an RNA transcript of Portunus trituberculatus (swimming crab), 2895 nucleotides long. It is a transcript of the gene named cytochrome P450 2L1-like, with no coding region annotated. The record is from RefSeq and is a predicted model, not a curated record. The transcript has 13 exons. Lineage: Eukaryota; Metazoa; Arthropoda; Malacostraca; Decapoda; Portunidae.